Molecule: long non-coding RNA, 316 nt
Organism: Thunnus maccoyii (southern bluefin tuna)
Lineage: Eukaryota; Metazoa; Chordata; Actinopteri; Scombriformes; Scombridae
Exons: 3
Source: RefSeq, a predicted model, not a curated record
ACAAUGUAAAGUCGGACUGAAUGGGCGCCUUUUUAGUCCAGUAUCCAGCUCUUAUAAUACAUCCAUGCUCCACACACGGAGCUCAGCAAAGCGGAGGACAGACAGACAGCGGUGGAGAGUUGGAGACCCUACCGAGUGGUUGUUUUGAAACUGUUGGCUGAUAGCAUCCCACUGGUGGCCAUCAUGGUUGACUCUAUAGAAUCCAAUGUGAUCAUGGUUGAUCUUCAGCAGGCCAUCCACAGAAGAGCUGAAGGAGGCUGGCUGGCAUCAGCUUUGGGAUCGAGGAGGAAGCGCUUUUGGCUCAGUUUGGCAGUCC